UGGGGAAUCUUCCGCAAUGGGCGCAAGCCUGACGGAGCAACGCCGCGUGAGUGAAGAAGGUUUUCGGAUCGUAAAGCUCUGUUGAGAGGGACGAGAGAUAUAAUCAGGAAAUGGGUUAUAGAGGACGGUACCUUUCGAGGAAGCCACGGCUAACUCCGUGCCAGCAGCCGCGGUAAUACGGAGGGUGCAAGCGUUAAUCGGAAUAACUGGGCGUAAAGGGCAUGCAGGCGGUUCAUCAAGUAGGAUGUGAAAUCCCCGGGCUCAACCUGGGAACAGCAUACUAAACUGGUGGACUAGAGUAUUGCAGGGGAGACGGAAUUCCAGGUGUAGCGGUGGAAUGCGUAGAUAUCUGGAAGAACACCAAAGGCGAAGGCAGUCUCCUGGGCAAAUACUG
This 394-nucleotide ribosomal RNA is filed under the name uncultured Succinivibrio sp. RNAcentral describes it as "bacterial SSU rRNA". It matches the Rfam family "Bacterial small subunit ribosomal RNA", at positions 355 to 742 of the family's 1533-position model. The record is from RNAcentral. Lineage: Bacteria; Pseudomonadati; Pseudomonadota; Gammaproteobacteria; Aeromonadales; Succinivibrionaceae.